GACGAACGCUGGCGGCGUGCUUAACACAUGCAAGUCGAACGGGAGUAUUGAAGAAGCUUGCUUUAGAGAUACUUUAGUGGCGGACGGGUGAGUAACGCGUGAGGAGCUGUCCUAUGCAGGGGGACAACAGCUGGAAACGGCUGCUAAUACCCCAUAAGCCGAGAGGUAAAAGGAUCAAUCCGGCAGAGGAGGUACUCGCGUCCUAUCAGCUAGUAGGUGAGGUAACGGCUCACCUAGGCGAAGACGGGUAGCCGGCCUGAGAGGGCGAACGGCCAACGACUGGAACUGAGAUACGGUCCAGACUCCUACGGGAGGCAGCAGUGGGGAAUAUUGCGCAAUGGGGGCAACCCUGACCCAGCGACGCCGCGUGAGGGACGAAGGUUUUCGGAUCGUAAACCUCUGUUGUACGGGAAGAAGGAAUUGACGGUACCGUACGAGAAAGCCCCGGCAAACUACGUG
Molecule: ribosomal RNA, 459 nt
Filed under: uncultured bacterium
Lineage: Bacteria
Description: bacterial SSU rRNA
Rfam family: Bacterial small subunit ribosomal RNA
Source: RNAcentral